Molecule: ribosomal RNA, 1013 nt
Filed under: [Eubacterium] sulci
Lineage: Bacteria; Bacillati; Bacillota; Clostridia; Peptostreptococcales; Anaerovoracaceae
Description: partial 23S ribosomal RNA
Rfam family: Bacterial large subunit ribosomal RNA
Source: RNAcentral
AUGGUCAAGUGAAUAAGAGCAUAAGGCGGAUGCCUUGGCACUGGGAGCCGACGAAGGACGUGACAAGCUGCGAUAAGCUACGGGGAGGAGCACAUAUCCGUCAAUCCGUAGAUUUCCGAAUGGGGGAACCCACCUAUAGUAAUGUGUAGGUAUUUUCGUAUGAAUCUAUAGUACGAAUAAAGGCAACCCGGGGAACUGAAACAUCUAAGUACCCGGAGGAAGAGAAAGAAAAAUCGAUUUCCUAAGUAGCGGCGAGCGAAAGGGAAAGAGGCCAAACCGUUAGUUUACUAACGGGGUUGUGGAUCACAGCCGUGGUAGAUACAAGUUUAGCAGAAGACAACUGGAAAGUUUGCGACACAGAGGGUAAUAUCCCCGUAUGCGAAAAAUGAGUAUCACCUAUGUGACACCAGAGUAGGACCGAACACGUGGAAUUCGGUUUGAAGCCGGGGGGCCCACCCCCCAAGCCUAAAUACUACCCAGUGACCGAUAGUGAAUAGUACCGUGAGGGAAAGGUGAAAAGGACCCCGGGAGGGGAGUGAAAUAGAACCUGAAACCUUAUGCUUACAAGCAGAGGGAGCGCAAGUGACCUCGUACUUUUUGUAGAACGGGCCAACGAGUUAUGGUAUGCAGCGAGGUUAAGGUGCUGGAGCACUGGAGCCGUAGAGAAAUCGAGUCUGAAAGGGCGAAAGUUGCAUGCUGUAGACCCGAAACCGGGUGAUCUAUCCAUGUCCAGGUUGAAGUAACUGUAAUAGGUUAUGGAGGACCGAACUUAUAUCUGUUGAAAAAGGUUAGGAUGAGGUGUGGAUAGGGGUGAAAUUCCAAUCGAACUCGGAUAUAGCUGGUUCUCCUCGAAAUAGCUUUAGGGCUAGCCUCGUAGUAAGAUACCUGGGGGUAGAGCACUGAAUGUUCUAGGGGCCUUCACCGGUUACCGAAAACUAUCAAACUCCGAAUACCAGAGUAUCAUCUACGGGAGUCAGACUAUGUGAGAUAAGUUUCAUAGUCGAAAGGGAAAC